GCCUAUUUCAGACUGUUCUGGUGUUUGUU
This 29-nucleotide non-coding RNA is filed under the name Rattus norvegicus (Norway rat). The record is from RNAcentral. Lineage: Eukaryota; Metazoa; Chordata; Mammalia; Rodentia; Muridae.